GACGAACGCUGGCGGCGUGCCUAAUACAUGCAAGUAGAACGCUGAAGGAGGAGCUUGCUUCUCCGGAUGAGUUGCGAACGGGUGAGUAACGCGUAGGUAACCUGCCUGGUAGCGGGGGAUAACUAUUGGAAACGAUAGCUAAUACCGCAUAAGAGUAGAUGUCGCAUGACAUUUGCUUAAAAGGUGCAACUGCACCACUACCAGAUGGACCUGCGUUGUAUUAGCUAGUUGGUGAGGUAACGGCUCACCAAGGCAACGAUACAUAGCCGACCUGAGAGGGUGAUCGGCCACACUGGGACUGAGACACGGCCCAGACUCCUACGGGAGGCAGCAGUAGGGAAUCUUCGGCAAUGGACGGAAGUCUGACCGAGCAACGCCGCGUGAGUGAAGAAGGUUUUCGGAUCGUAAAGCUCUGUUGUAAGAGAAGAACGAGUGUGAGAGUGGAAAGUUCACACUGUGACGGUAUCUUACCAGAAAGGGACGGCUAACUACGUGC
This 496-nucleotide ribosomal RNA is filed under the name uncultured bacterium. Its description in RNAcentral is "partial 16S ribosomal RNA". It matches the Rfam family "Bacterial small subunit ribosomal RNA", at positions 28 to 508 of the family's 1533-position model. The record is from RNAcentral.